CGCCCGGUUACAUUCCGAACCCGGAAGCUAAGCCUCACAGCGCCGAUGGUACUGCAGGGGGGACCCUGUGGGAGAGUAGGACACCGCCGAAC
Molecule: ribosomal RNA, 92 nt
Filed under: Streptomyces collinus
Lineage: Bacteria; Bacillati; Actinomycetota; Actinomycetes; Kitasatosporales; Streptomycetaceae
Also listed under: 41 other names
Source: RNAcentral